RNAcentral lists this ribosomal RNA (198 nucleotides) under Plectosphaerella cucumerina. RNAcentral describes it as "partial large subunit ribosomal RNA". It matches the Rfam family "Eukaryotic large subunit ribosomal RNA", at positions 82 to 279 of the family's 3401-position model. Lineage: Eukaryota; Fungi; Ascomycota; Sordariomycetes; Glomerellales; Plectosphaerellaceae. The record is from RNAcentral.
AGUAACGGCGAGUGAAGCGGCAACAGCUCAAAUUUGAAAUCUGGCUCCUUCGGGGCCCGAGUUGUAAUUUGCAGAGGAUGCGUCGGGUACGGGUGCCUUCCGAGUUCCCUGGAACUGGACGCCAUAGAGGGUGAGAGCCCCGUCUGGUAGGACACCCAGCCCGUGUGACGCUCCCUCGACGAGUCGAGUUGUUUGGGA